CUACACUAUAUUUUAUACAAUACCAUUUUCUUUUAUCUUUAUUUCUUGUUUCGUGUAGUUUUACAUUUACAUUUUCUUCUAUUUUACUUUGUCCACUAAUAGUCACAUGUUUAUUGUGUUGUAAACUAAUAAAACUUGUAGCAUUAAACAGUAAUAUAUUAAUCUUUCAAGUUCAUUUGUUGUUGGAACUUGGAAGGAUAUAUUUCCUCACCAACAUCUAUCAUACACCACAAAUUAAAACCUUGCAAAAUUAAUAACAAUUCCUCAGAAAACUAGUACAUUAAUUAGCUUAAAAUAGAAACAACUUUUUUUUCUUUUUCUUCUUUUCGGUUAGCGGAACUAAAUUAUUAUUGUUUGAUGAGUUCUCUAAAUGUGAAAGCAUAUCUGGUGACAAGCGAAGCAAACGAAGACUUCUCUCCAUUUUAAGUUCUGUGAUACGUUUAACAGUUGCAUUAUAGUUGUUCAAAUCUACAAGUCUAGUUGUGCUUUCAUGGAACUGAAAUUGGAGCUUCGCAAGUUCCUCAUACUUACCAAUCUGUUGAUCUAGGUCUCCAACAUAUACUCCAUUGAUCUUGUUUAGUACAUCCACAGCAAUUUCCUCAACCAAUGCCAAUUCUGUUCUGUACACAAACAUCAAGAAAAAUACAGCACAUGUAAAGAUCUCAAAUUUCACAACGGAAUAAACCAAUCAUAAACAAUUCUAAGUUGCCAAAAUGAUAGACAGUUAGCUGAAUGAGAGGUUGACACCACACUUAAAAGUGUUCAACAUUCAGUUUUCCAUCUCCCCCUCAACCAACCAAAAGCUUUUCUAUCCACUUGUACUUGUCCUGUCGUUGCCGAUCUGAUCGGGACACGCCAAAUGAACACCCUUGGUCAAUAAGACUUUCAACACAAGGAGCCGGUCGAUCAUCACAUUGGAUCACUACUAAAAAAACAAAAAUUAGUGAGGGAAAACAUGAAAUUCCUCUCUAUUUCCGUCACUAAUUUCCCUCCCUAAUUUUGCCUUUCCUAGUAGUGGGAACUUGAACAAGGGUCCAUGCGAUCAUCAUAUCGGAACUUGAAUAAUCAUACAAGUGAGUAUGGUUGUUAAACUUGCGAGUCUAUGAUGGGUUUAUGAAUCUAGAAGGCACAAACGAGUGGAAUCACACAUAUAAUCUUUUUUGAGCUAGAUCGACAUACUCGUGUAGACUCGCGAGUCUAUGAUGAGUUUAUGAGUCUAAGUUUUAUUGAAAAAACAAUUUGUUUCUGAAAAGAGCUCAAACUAAACAAAAUUUGAAAGGAAACAAACUUAUAAUCCUUUUAAUUUCUUUUUCGAUCUCACUCUCAAUUUAGAAACAAAUCUCUCACUUUCACCAAAGAUACAAGAAUUCAGGUCAUACUCACCUUCGCUGACGACAUUUUCUUCUUCCUUCAUCGACGACGACGUUCUCUUGCUGUGUAUCGAAAUAUUGUUGAAAUUGAUGUUGCUAAUAAUGAUGCUCAAUGUGGUGGUAGAGGGAAUGUUGAAUUAGAUGGAAGUUAAGAUAAUCCAAGUUAGGUUACAGUCAAUGAUGAAUAAGGUGUUUUAUCUAGGGAUGAAUUUGAUAUGAUAGUCAGAAUGUUGGUGAAGAUGAUAAUGACGAUGGUUGUCAUUUUGAUGAUGAACAAGAUUUUUACAUAGGCAUUUUAUGAUUUUUGGGUAUAUACAGUAGCCAAUUAGAAAGUAAUUAGGACCUUAUCUACAUACUUUUCUACAUUGCUUGCUCUAAUAUUUUUUUUUUGUUAAAAAGUUUGUUAUUAAGUUUGAAGUUCUAUUUUUUAUGAUAAUUGGUGUUCUAUCAUAAAUAUAUAUGUCAUUUAUGUGUCACUUUAAUAUUUUUUACAGUCAAUUUUAAUUUUUCAUAAACUCAUACGAGUCUACAAGUCAAGUUUAUCAGUCGAGUGUCUACAUACCCUUUUCGAGGCUAUGUAAACUCGCGAGUCUGACAACCUUACAAGUGAGUUUAAACAAUCAUAUCAGGCCUUGACCAAAAUAAAAAAAAUAGUGAAUUGGUUAGUUCCAUGUUCAACAUUGGACUGGUCUGUUCAUUGGAUUAUUAGAAUAUUGUUAUCAAGGCUCAUUUUCACUUAUAAAUGAAAAACUUAAACCAAAAUAAUGACGAAAGAAGUUGAUUGCUAUAAAGUUACCUAUUGACAUUACAAUCCCAACCAGCAUAAUUUGCAGCUUCCAACAAACCAUUCCUCCAUUCUUGCACCUUUAUCUUCCCCUCAAAGUUGUUCUCAUGCUUAGCAAAAGCCUCAGCAUAGCUUCCUCUCUGGUUCCUAACAUCAGAAGGAUCAACGUCAUAGAAAACAGGCACUACAAUUUGCCCUUUCAUCUUUUUAAUUUCGAGUAUUUUCAUAAGCUCUUCCAAACACCAUUUUGACACCGCAUAGUUUUUAGAGAAAACAAUAACGGAGAGCUUGGCUUCUUCGAUGGCCCUAACAAGGGUGGUUGGUAUUUCAUCACCACUAUUAAGAUCAUUGUCUAUAUAGGUUCUUAUAUCUAAUCUUUUCAAAGCACCAUUAAGAUGGCUUGUGAAAUUGUUGCGAGUAUCCUCACCUCUAAAACUAAUAAACACUUCGUGCUUUUCUAGAGGAGCAUUGUUGAAUGAAGAGGAGGAAGAUGAAUAUGACCAUGCCAUAAUAAUGCUAAUGUGUAUUUGACUAUAGUUACUAGAGUAUAUAGGUAAAACUACGAAUAAUCGUUGUUUCCGACAACUCAGGCCUCAGGGUUUGAAUUUUAUGGUUAAUUCGAUGUACGACCCCGGUACUUAUAAUAUUUACAAGCAAAAAUAAUUGGAUGUCCACCCGUGUGAUGCACGGGUUAAUUUUAGGAGAUUUUUAUUGUUUAUGAUGUGAAUAUCUUAUUUUAUUGAAUGAUGAGAAUAUUUAUGAUGUGAAUGUCAUUUUUUAUAGAACUAUGAGAAUAUUUACAAAAAAGAUGGGGUGCAAAAUCGCUCAAAAAAAAGUUGAUGCAAAAUCGCACAAUUAGCAAAAUAUAGGGGGGAAAAGUGCAAUUAAGCCUAAAAAUAAAAAGGAAAUACAUACUUAACUAAUAAAUAGACAUCGUACUGUUCUCGUGAGCUUAACUAAGUUGGUACGAACAAUGCAUUAAUAUAUGCAAGAUCCGGGAUUAAAAUCCAGCCACCACAAAAUAAGAAAAUAGACAACGUACAUAUACGAAUGCAAUUACUUACAAUGUCUUGACUUAUCAAAGUGCCCUUAUUUAUAAAAUAUUAAACCAACUACAAUAUAAAAAAAAUAUAAAAGAGAAAAUAGCGCUUAGAAGACUUUUUUUAUCAGUUCUCACAUUAAUAGUAUAUAUAUAAAGUAAGGUUUUUUAUGCCACGUGUCAUUUCCACGUAUAUUCGCAAUAUUUUUAUUAUUUUUUUAUUUUUUAAAACCAAUAUUUGAUUUGGCAUAAAUAUCUCAACAAACUUUUGAUCUUAUCUAUUAAAUAUUUUACUUACUUUUUCAUUGAUUCCUAAAAUUUUAUGUAACAGAAAUAUCUCAACAGAAAUAACACAAAUUCCUAAAAGUUAAUUUUAUUAUAUAUGUGUUAAUAUUUUUACUAAAUCCAAUUAAUUUUAUCUGUAUGUGCAUCUAUAAAUUAACGAGUAUUUUAUAAUAUGGUAUAUUUUAUUAUGUUUGUUUGUAUUUUUAUUAAGAUAUUCAUCCUAUUCCAAUCCGUGAUAAAUUUUAUUUGCGAAUAACAUACAUAUAAUUUUUUUAUCUUCUUGAAUAUGUCUAACCCGGGCAACGCCAGAUAAAUACACCAGUAGUAAAUAACAACAUAAGAAUUUGAAAAAUAAAAAACCUAUCGUUAUUUUAUGCAAUAACAAAAACAAAACAAAAAUCUUAGAAGACUUCUUAGUUCUCUCAACAGUAAAUCAAAUUUUUUAUAAUUGAGUGUAACUCUAUACUAACCCUAAUAUUCCCACUUGACCUUCGUGUAAUUUGAAAAAACAAAAGGAUUUUCAAAAAUUAAAAAUGAAUCAAGUUUUUAUAUUCGAUUGUAACUCUAUACUAUUCCCACUAUUUUCACAGGACCUUCGUGUGAUUUGAAGGUACAAAAGGGUUCUAAAAAAAUUAAAACUGAAUAAUAUUUUAAUAAUUGAGUGUAAUUUUAUACCAAUCCUAACAAAAACGCAAGAAAGAGAAAAUUUGCAUUUUGUUUUAGAUUUGUGUUCCCUUUUUUUGUUCGUUUUCUGAAUGUGGUUAUACCGGUAAAGUGCAGAAUGUAAAGAUACACGAAAAAGAAUAUAACACCUCGUUUUAAGAGACGUCCACCCGUGCGAUGUGCGGGUCAAUUCUAUAAUAUUUUUAUUGUUUAUGACAUGAAUAUCUUAUUUUAUUGAAUGAUAAGAAUAUUUACGAUGUGAAUGUUUUUUUUUUUUUUUUUAUUUAUAUAGAACUAUGAGUAUAUUUACGAUGUGAAUAUUUUUUGUAUAGAACAAUGAGAAUAUAUAUCAAACUAUAUUUUAUUAGUAUCUCUCAAAGUAUUUUCAUAAACAACAAAACCUAUUUUAAAUUUAAAGAGAUCCAUCUACUGAUGAAAAUAAAAGGCCUCUUGAAUUAAAAAGUUCAAUACUUGAAUUAUGUUAGUUACUAUUGUUGAACCUUGGAGUUUUAUGUGACCGUUACCAUUGUUGUUGAUCCAGUAUUAUAUGUUUACUAAGUGCUGACUACGUGAAAAUUCUCAAACAAAUGGCACACGCAUAAAUUUUAUUUUUCAUAUAACAUGAGAGCAAAAACCAGCACCAUAACUAUUAAUAUUAACACUAAUGUUAAUCUUAAAUUUCUCAUGUUAUGAAUGAUGGAUCACCACUAUUAGAAUCUGAAUUAAUCUUAUUGUGAAUCGAUAUCUCUGUCUUGAAGAACCACCGAACUAUUGUUGAAGAAUUGAUUAAGGUCCAUGAAUCAAAAACUUCUCACUGGAUUUUGUAUUGAGGACAAGAUUGUAUGUGAGAAUGUGUAGAUGUUUAGAUGUUCUUAAUUUUAAUUUUAAAGAAUAUGUAGUGUUGAUUAUAUCUAACAGUUUAUUUUCUAUGCUCCAUUGAUGAGGGAUUCAAUUGCACCAUCACCUUAUAAUCCACCUAUGGUUUUAUACAAAAAAAAAAUUCUAUAAAAAAUGGCUAUGAAAUCAAGUAUAUGAAGUUUUGUAUAUAUUGAAUUUGUGAUGUAUAUAUUAACCAAAUAUUUGUUCCCAUAGAAUAUUCUUUUUAGCAAAACAUAUACAUAUUUGUUUCCUUUUUUAGAAUAAAAUAUUUGUUUCUAUAUUUACAUAAUUAUUCGAUGUAUAUAUAUGAACCAAAGGUGGCAUAAAUUUUUUUUUUUUGGUGUGUUAACCCUCUUGUUCAAAGGGAAAAGAUACCCUAGUAAUUUAGAGUUCGACCGAAAGGUAUGUAAAGCAUGUCCUAACCAAGAAUUGUUGCACACCAUAAAUAAUAUUUUUUUUUUUUUUUUUGUAAAAGAGUCAAUUUUUAUUUGUUUUGAAAUUAAAAAUUUGCUUUAUAGCAUGAAUAUAAUAUUCAAUUUUAUUAUUUAUUUUUUUGAUAGGCAAAGAGAUAGGUGAUACAUCAAGGUAUGUAUGAAAUACAGACCCAUAUCUUACCUACUCAUAAUAUAUUAUUAAAAAAUGGAAAUGGGGUGGGGGACCAAAACCUUUAAAAAUCAAGGAAAAAGAAGAAAAUGAAAUAAAAAAAUAAAUAAGAAAAUUAAAGAAAAGUGGCCAUAGAAGAGAAGGUACUGCUCAACCACCCUUGGGUUCCCCCUUGGAUCGAGUGUUGUACGAAUAAAGUUUACUUUUUGCUUCUUCAUUAAAAAAGGUGUAAAGGGGACGUCCACAUCUUUACCUCGAAUAAGAUAUUCUCUAACAAAGUCAAGUUCCUUCUAAAGUUGUGGAUCAAUAUGUGAUGCUACCUCUAUAGGCUCCAAAGGCAUAAUUGCUUCUGUAGGAAUGAUCAUGCUAGGAGACUUAACAAUUACCAUAUUUUUCUACUGGUUCCAAAAUAAAAUGUUCCUCAUUACCAUUCUAUCCAACCAAGGCAGAAGAAUCGACAAUAUCAUCGUUGACAUUUGAUAAUGGAAAAUGAAAAGAGGUGCUUGAGUUUGGAGGCUGUUCAAUACGAGUUAAUUAUCUGAGAGGAAACAUGUUCAUAUGAUACAAUCUGACCUUUUGUACUUUGUUGCAAUGAUGGUUCUAUAGGUGUGAUGAUUGUAACAUCUUGAUCUGCACUAGGGACGACAUGUUCUGCAUGAGAUAUAACUGGUAUUAUAUUAGUAAUAUGAGGUACUUCAAAUGCUUUCGAGGGCCCAAUCCCAUUUGGUUAUGUUUUUCGACAUAUUUCUGAGUAGCAGCGCGAUCAACUUUUUCAACAACCUGCUCAGGGUGUAGCCAACGACAAGCCGUAACAUUGUGCUCAAUCAUCUGACAACGUGAACAUUAAUCUUGUAGCCGUUCAUAAACUUCUAAUUUGAAAGCAAUCUCAAACCUGUCGAGAGAUGGUGUAUUUUUUGUUUCUAAACCUACCCUCUAAGUAACCUGAGUGCUUCUCGUGGCCGUUUUCAAAACCUUUUUUCAAUCAAAACCUUUACACAACAUGAUUCUGAGAUCUCUAGUUCGGUCUCGCUUGUAAUAAUAAGAACUAGUUCGUUUGCCAAAAACACAGGCAAACAAAUAUACUUUUUAAGUUUGGUCCCUCCUAAAGGCUCCGUCCCCGAGUAAGAUUUUUUCUACCAUAGGUACGAGAGUUCAAAGGCCAUUUUCGAAGAUCAACAUAAAGCAAUUCAAAGACAAAUAUUAUAAGAGUCAUUCAAGGUUAAAAGUCUCUAACUUCCCAAAGCUGUCAUAUCAAUAGAUUUAAGAGAACUUCAACACCCAAGACUCGAAUAGAUGAAGAGACUUGCAAGAGAAAUUUUCAAGAUGGUUAAAGGACACUUGAGAUCCACGCAUUUUAGAAGUUUGUUUAUUUCUUUUUAUUGAAUAGUAGAAUCAAACAUCAUGCAAAUUAAUUUAUUUUCGUUCUGUAAAAUAAACCUACUAGAUAAACACAUCCGUCCUUACAAGAUAACAUAUGUUACUGGCUGCUUGAAUUGAACAAUAUUUUUUUUUUUUUUGACAAGAAAUUGAACAAUAUAUGUAACUCUACACUGUUUUAUAUAAUACCAUUUUCUUUUAUCUUUAUUUCUUGUUUUGUGUAGUUUUACAUUUACAUUUUAUUCUAUUUUACUUUGUCCACCAAUAGUCACAAUUGACAAUUGAUUCCUCAGAAAACUAGUACAUUAAUUAGCUUAAAAUAGAAACAACUUUUUUUUCUUUUUCUUCUUUUUGGUUAGCUUAAAAUUCUUAUUGUCUGAUGAGUUCUCUAAAUGUGAAAGCAUAUCAGGUGACAAGCGAAGCAAACGAAGACUUCUCUCCAUUUUAAGUUCUGUGAUACGUUUAACAGUUGCUUUAUAGUUGUUCAAAUCUAUAAGUUUAGUUGUGCUUUCAUGGAACUGAAAUUGGAGCUUCGCAAGUUCCUCAUACUUACCAAUCUGUUGAUCUAGGUCUCCAACAUAUACUCCAUUGAUCUUGUUUAAUACAUCCACAGCAAUUUCCUCAACCAAUGCCAAUUCUGUUCUGUACACAAACAUCAAGCAUAAUACAACACAUGUAAAGAUCUCAAAUUUCACAACGGAACAAACCAAUCAUAAAACAAUUCUAAGUUGCCAAAAUGAUAAAGACAGUUAGCUGAAUGAGAGGUUGACACCACACUAGGUAUAUGAGUCAUGUCCCUUAUAAAGUGUUCAACAUUCAGUUUUCUAUCUCCCCCUCAAUCAACCAGAAGUUUUCUAUCCCGUUGUACUUGUACCUUUGUUGCCGAUCUGAACGGGUCACGCCACCUGAACACCCUUGGUCUAUAAGACUUUCGACACAAAGAGCAGGUCGAUCAUCACAUCGGAACUUGAACAAGGGUCCAGGCAAUCAUCACAUCGGAACUUGAAUAAUCAUUCAAGUGUGUAUGGUUGUCAAACUCACGAGUAUACUCGCACAAGUUACGAGUCUAGAAGGCACAACUAAGUGGAAUCGCGCAUAGAAUAUUUUUUGAGCUAGACUCGUGUAGACUCGCAUAGACUCGUGAGUUUAUGAUGAGUUUACAAGUCUAUGAGUUUUUUUGAAAAAACAAUUUGUUUUUGAAAAAAAGCUCAAACUAAACAAAAAUUUAAAGGAAAAAAACUUACUUAGAAUCCUCUUAAUUUCUUUUUCGGUCUCACUCUCAAUUUAGAAACAAAUCUCUCACUCUCACCAAAAAUAGAAGAAUUCAGGUCAUACUCACCUACGUUGACGACAAUUUUUUCUUUCUUCAUCGACGAUGACAUUCUUUUGUUGUGUAUCGAAAUAUUGUGGAAAUUGAUGUUGCUAAUAAUACUACUAGAAAAAGCAAAAUUUGGGAGGAAAUUAGUGUCGAAAAAAAUAAAAUCCUUCAAAAAUUCGUUGGUCGCAAAAGUUUAGUGACAGAAUUAGAGAGCGAUUCCACUUUUUUCCUCUCUAAAUUUCCGUCACUAAUUUUUAUUUUUUUUAUAAUAUAAUGAUGCUCAAAGUGGUGGUAGAGGCAAUGUUGAAUUAGGUGGAAGUUAAAAUAAUCCAAAUUAGAUUAUGGUUAAUGGUGAAUAAGAUGUUUUGUCUGGGGCUGAGUUUGAUAUGAUAGUUAGGUUGUUGGUGAAGAUGAUGGUGAUGGUGGUCAUUUUGAUGAUGAACAAAAUUUUAAAUAGACUUUUAUGAUUUUUGGGUGUAUAUAGUAGCCAAUUAGAAAGAAAUUAGGACCUUAUCUACAUUGCUUGCUCUAAUAUGUUUUUUUUAAAGUUUGUUAUUACAUUCGAAAUUUUAUUUUUUUAUGUUAAUUGGUGUUCUAUUAUAAAUAUAUAUAUCAUUUAUGUGUCACUUUCAUAUUUUUUAAAGUCAACUUUAAUUUUCCAUAGACUCAUACGAGUCUACAAAUCGAGUUUACCUGUCGAGUUUAUAUAUCAUUUUUGAGUCUAUGUAAACUCGCGAAUCUGACAACUUUACAAGUGAGUUUAAACAAUCGGGCCUUGACCAAAAUCAAACAAACUAGUGAAUUGGUUAGUUCCAUGUUCAACAUUGGAUUGGUCGGUUCAUCGGAUUAUUAGAAUAUUGUUUUUUUUUUUA
This 9190-nucleotide long non-coding RNA is filed under the name Medicago truncatula (barrel medic). RNAcentral's name for it is "long non-coding RNA (MTRU_LNC003060)". Lineage: Eukaryota; Viridiplantae; Streptophyta; Magnoliopsida; Fabales; Fabaceae. The record is from RNAcentral.